UACGUAGGGGGCAAGCGUUGUCCGGAUUUAUUGGGCGUAAAGAGCGUGUAGGCGGCCAUUCAGGUCAGCUGUGAAAACUCGAGGCUCAACCUCGAGACGUCGGUUGAAACCGUUUGGCUAGAGUCCGGAAGAGGAGAGUGGAAUUCCCGGUGUAGCGGUGAAAUGCGCAGAUAUCGGGAGGAACACCAAUGGCGAAGGCAGCUCGCUGGGACGUUACUGACGCUGAGACGCGAAAGCGUGGGGAGCAAACAGG
This 253-nucleotide ribosomal RNA is filed under the name uncultured bacterium. RNAcentral describes it as "partial 16S ribosomal RNA". It matches the Rfam family "Bacterial small subunit ribosomal RNA", at positions 524 to 776 of the family's 1533-position model. The record is from RNAcentral.